GGAAUCGACAAGCAUAUAUAUUACUUAAUACUUAUGAGGUGCUAAAAUGUCGCACGGGAGUAAUAUCGAUUUGUUCUCCAGAAACGGCUAUAUGGCAAAGUCCAUAUCGAAAUUGCGAGUAUGCUCUUUUUAUGGGAUUCGAUACGGUGGUCACUCAAAUCUGCGAUAGACGAUUAGCGACCACGCAUCCGCCCGUUUUUCGAAGAUUAGAUCAGGAGGGAACGUGGAUAUACUCAACUGAUAAACCGUUAAGUUUAGUAGUUGAAUGUCCCCGACUAGCUAAUAUAAGGACACAACCACAACCUCAGAUUAUCAAAUUGUUGGGUACGAAUAUCUUUAAUUUACCAAAUUCAUGCACAGGUCAUUUAUCUGGUAUAAAAUUGACCGCUUACUUUCAACAAUGAUCUACAUUAAGAUUAACUAUUAAG
This 428-nucleotide long non-coding RNA is filed under the name Androctonus crassicauda. Lineage: Eukaryota; Metazoa; Arthropoda; Arachnida; Scorpiones; Buthidae. The record is from RNAcentral.